This 479-nucleotide ribosomal RNA is filed under the name uncultured bacterium. RNAcentral describes it as "bacterial SSU rRNA". It matches the Rfam family "Bacterial small subunit ribosomal RNA", at positions 28 to 524 of the family's 1533-position model. The record is from RNAcentral.
GAUGAACGCUGGCGGCGUGCCUAACCCAUGUAAGUCGAGCGAUCUGUUAGCAAUAGCAGAGAGCGGCGGAAGGGUGAGUAACACGUAGGAGACCUACCUCAUCGCAGGGAACAACAGUCCGAAAGGAUUGCUAAUACCCAAAAGACCCGGUGCUUCGAUGUGCCGGGGAGAGUUCGCAAGAGCGUGAUGAGAGGGUCCUGCGGCCCAUCAGCUAGUUGGUAGGGUAGUGGCCUACCAAGGCAACGACGGGUAGGGGGUCUGAGAGGACGAUCCCCCACACUGGAACUGAAACACGGUCCAGACGCCUACGGGUGGCAGCAGGGAGGAAUAUUGGGCAAUGGGCGAAAGCCUGACCCAGCAACGCCGCGUGAAGGACGAAGGCCUUCGGGUCGUAAACUUACUUUUGUAGGGAGGACGAGAAAGGAACGGUAGUCCUCCGAAUAAGCCACGGCUAACUACGUGCCAGCAGCCGCGGUAAU